UGUUGACACAUAAUUUGCUUGGGGUUCUUUCUUUAUAAGGAAAGAAGCAUAAUAUUUUUGUUUGACUUAGAUAAGUCUCCCGCGUAAGGUACCUUUCAUAAAUAUGUAAAUGUUAAGUAUAAAAGGGACAGUAUUGAGUUAUCCUCUAACAAAAUUCAUUUCAAAAGUUCAUCAUGAAGUUUCUUAGUCAGAAAAUAUUCUUGUUUUACAUUUUUGUAGUGUUUCAAUUUUUAAUUGGAAUUUCAACAGGAUUUCAUCUAUCAGACUUGAUGUGGUGGUCAAAGCAUGACAAAGACAAAGCCAAUGAUUUAAAGGUGAUUUCUUUGAAAACCAUUAAGGAAAAAUUUGCAACACAAGAUGCAGACGAAGAACUUGACAACAUAUUUUUCAAAGACAUUGUGAAACAAAAUCCGGUCUUGGAAGAUCCAAACUGUCAACCGGGAUUCGUUCGAGAUCGAAGAGGAAUUUGUAGAGAAGUUUGGUAGUGAUUUUUUUAAAGUAUGUUUCAAAUAACAUCCGAACUAUUCUUUUCAUUUUCCUGCAUACAUUUUUACUUAAAAUACAAGAAAGUUUUCUGAAUUGUUUGUUAAUAAAGUUUAAUUGACAAAAUGCAUGCUAAAUAUAUAUGACUUCUAAGAUUCAAAUUAUUUGCUCCAUUCCCUGAAUUAGGUUUGUUUGAUUUAUUUACGAACUGAUACUGUUUAGGCGUGUUCAGAUGUACCGUAUUUUUAAAAAUGGGAAUUAUUAUUUUACAAAAUCACAAAACGAAUAACAUUUUUUUAAAAUUUGUGGAAUACAUAUUUAGAAAAUUGAAAUGGAAAGGAAAGGCAUUAUAUAAAUAACUGACUUUUGUUCAAUCAUUGGAAAAUAAAAGAUGACACACUUUCAUUUUAUUUUUUUUAUUUUCAUCCCAAACUUAUUUAUAAAACAUUUUUCACAUAAAUAACAAUAAUUCUCAUAAGAUUAACUUAAUCUAUGUAGUAUAACAAUUUCUUUUUUUAUAUAAAAUAAAAUAUAAAUGAAAAAUCAAAAAACAAAAAAUAA
Long non-coding RNA from Eupeodes corollae, 1044 nucleotides. RefSeq lists it as uncharacterized. The record is from RefSeq and is a predicted model, not a curated record. The transcript is spliced from 2 exons. Lineage: Eukaryota; Metazoa; Arthropoda; Insecta; Diptera; Syrphidae.